GAUACAAUUGCCAUCAUAUUUUACAUUACAGGCACUUAUAUUACAAGAGUGUCUCAAAGUAGCAUAAGUUUCCAAACUGAUAAAAGUUAUUACAAAUCAGUUGCAAGUUCUCAAGUUUACGGCAGCGGAAUUUGAAAUGCGACAACUAUACACGUCGCCAGUACGGACAUCAUGCUAAGCCCUGGCAUGACAUCACUCGGUAGGUUCAGUGUUGGCCGGGGACGGAUCCCACUCCACGGACCAACCAUCAGGCAAAGCAUAGGGCCAUGGCAGCUUAGGAGUCUGGUCCUCAUAAGUUAUACCUGAAAAACAUGUAACUAGUAAGGCUGAGUAUACUAAUACUCAGCAAGGCUUACCCGUCAUCUGGGUAUACUUAGCCCAUAAAUAGACCAUGGAGGAUUUGAGAGGUUCUGGUUUUCUCUUUUGCUGAAAAGCAACAAAGAGUACGAUCUAACUUCCAUAUUUUAGCUUUCAAGUUCUAGUUUCAUUAACCAUUCUAGAUAAGCACCUAUACUAGGCAAACAAGGUAGAGUUUAGCAUCCAUCAAGAUUAUUUCAACAAAGGUUACUGUUCUUACUCUAUGUGGCAGAAGGAAUAAGCAGUCUCAAUCUCCGCGAGAAAUGGACGAUUCCUGAAUCGAAUUUCAAACCUUGCAAGGGUAAACCUAACUCACACGCUUGGAACAUCCAAACAUCGUUCCGAAGCAACCGUUUCCCUCAUAUUCCGGGUUAUGGAUCAGGGCCACCACAAGUGACUGCAGAACCGUACGCACACCAAUUGUGCAGGACGUACGUCUGUAGCGCGACUAUAUGAUCGUACUCCUAUCUGCUAUGCAGAACGCACUCCCACACGUCGGUGCGUGUGUACAACAGAAACCAAAAUAAUCGAGUGGUGGAGACAUGUCCAUUUGCCGGGCCAUUCAGGUACUAGGCUUACCGCUUUACCAUAUUUCACGGCAUGUGGCUAGUACUUUCAAACGCUUAGCCACCACUACCACACACUGCGACCUUAUCAACUUUUAUCAACACAGACGGGGUAAACUUCCAGGUCAUGUUACUGCACAUGACCCCGUCCAUGAUCCUUAUAGUGAAUGCAAGAUUGUAAACAUUCAACUCCUAUAUCGCGCGAGUGAUAGGAAAUCACUCGACUUCUACCGGUCCUAUUAGCAGAGCAUCUAGUCGAUAUGGACUCAGGCACAUUACAUAGGUUCCUAGCAUCUAUGCAUCUAAGGUUCCAUUUCAACUCCUAGACUUAAUGCAGGAUAUAAUUUAUAAGUAUAAGAUUGCAUAAUGUAGUAAUUUGAAAUACUAGGUUAUGCACCGGGGCUUGCCUUUACUGGUGGGGCUGGAGUCAGGGAUGUUAGUAUUAUUAUCUUCUGAACUUGGGUUCGGACCUUUAGAUAAUCCCUUGGUGACAUUCACUUGGUCUUCAGAAACAUUCUCUGUAGACUCUUGGGAGAUCUCGUAGAUACCGUUUGCGGAAGUAGUCGUAUCUACAUGCAAUGCAACAUUACAUUCAAAGUGUGCACAUAAAACUAUCUUACUUCACAAUAAAGUUGCAAUCCAACACUCAUUUAACAUACUACUACGUAACAAUCAAAAGAUCAGAAACUAACUUGGGUAGAGCUUUAGUUGGACAACUAAUUAAAAUCAGCUACUUGUUGAAGAUUACAACAGAGCCGAUUGGAUACAAUAGGGGUUCAGCUGAUAGAAUUUGUAAAGAAGGAAGCUAUCUACACAGUUUUUGGAAAUCUGCUGAUUUCUGUUUGGAAGAGAAUUCGGCAGGAGCGGUCUCUAUAUAUGAGCAGAAGAGAUUAGCCGAUUUGAGUUUAUCUGGGGUCAAAUUGGCUGAUAUGGAUAGGAAUGUUAAAGGUACAGUACUUUAAGGAUAGAAAAAGGAAAGAUCUUGCCGAUUGGAUUAUCAGCAUAUUUUUGGUCUAUCCGAUUAGUUGGUGCAUUGGCCUUGGCCUUAGCCGAUUCAUGUGCCUUAGGUCUAGCCGAUUGGAUGUCUACUGGUGCUAGCCGAUUGGCCAAAGCUAUAUCGGCCGUGCCUAACAGAGACUCUUAUUGUGUUAACUUGCCGAUCUGUGGUGGUGCGUUUCGACAAGUGCAGCCGAUAUGCCAUCUAAAUCGGAUGUCUAGCUGAUCACUGCGCGCAUCGGCAUAGCCGAUUGGUGUUUUUAGCAAACUAGUCGAUCUGCGAACAUCGGCACGCUAGCCGAUCAGGGUAUGUAACUAUUCAAUAUUGGAAGUAGCCGAUUGUGCAACAACUACUCGACUCGUGUAGCAUGUAAAAUUGGAUUGCGCAUUGGUAAACUGGUCGAGAGUGUGAACAUCGGCCGAGCUAAUAUGUGCGCAUGUACUAGAUUUGUGAAUCGGCACAAGUAGCCGAUCAGUGCAUUUGCAAAACUAGUUGAUUAGUGAACAUCAGCUAAGCCGAUUUGUGUACGUGUACUAGUCGAUCGGUGAAUCGGCAUACUAGUCGAUUUAGUGCAUCGGCACAUUAGCCGAUUUUCACAUCGGGUAUAACUAGUCGAGUGAUGUAUCCGCAUAGCUAGUUGAUUAAUGUGAGUGACUAGCCGAUGGUGCAUUGGUAGACUAGUCGAACAUGCAUCCGUACGGUCUAUGUCUUGGUGUAUUCAGUCGAUUGGUGGGUUGGCUGUGUAGCUGGUUUUCACCAUUAAUGUUCUCCUACAGCUAUUGGGGUACAUCAGCCAUGUAGCUGAUUGUCUUAUUCUGCACUAACUAUGCCUAACUGAGAUGUGCUUAAGUGUUAUCCUAGGUAACUAGGUGUGGUUGUAUCGGCUUGAUUACGUCGGUAAAACAAUUAAUUGACGUACAGCCGAUGGGUGUCCUACAGACCCGUAGUCAAUAGGCAUAUGGCCGAUAGGUGUGUGUCCUAUGGGUAUAUAGCUAAAGGGUUGUGUGGCCUAUAUCUCAGUCGAUAAAUCGGCUGGUAUAAAUAUGCUGACAGAGAAGGGUAACUAAAAUGGAUUGGUUAUAUCUGGCCAUUAUAGAAAAUGAUCAGAUUUGGCUUGGAUCAGCUGAUAGCAAGAAUCCCAAGAUCAUGUGUGCAUCUCCGAUACAUCGACUAUGUGCAGCCGAUGUAGGACAGAACAAAAGAAUUGUAUCGGUAGUAGCCGAUAUUAGAAAGAUAACAACCGUAUCGGCUAACCAGCCGAUGGUAGAAGCAUAUCAAAUGAAUUGCAUCGGCUGACAGCCGUUACAAUGAAACAUCAUAGAUUCAAUUGAAACGGAUGCUUAGCGGCUGAGCUAAUAGCCGAUGCUGAAGCAUAGCUACAGAGAUGUAUUAGCUAAGCAGCAGAUACACACGAACUAACAAGGAUCCUUAUACGAAAAGGACCUUAAGGAAACUGCAAUCAAGACAAGGACAAUGUCUUGAUGGUAGGGACAUGAGCACUCGUGUGAAAGGAUUAACUAAACAUCACACAUCUCUAUCACAAAAGUAUGAGCUAACACUACCAAACUUAUCGACAAUGCAACAUGAAAGACAUUCUAUUUAUCAAACAUGUUAUUCACUCUUUUGCUAGGCAUUCAUUUAUCGGGUAUUAUCUAAAUUGUUUAGUUACAUUAGGUAACAGGGUUGAUUACCCUAAAUAUCUAAACUAAAUACAUUAGGUAGUGUACUUGGUUAUCUUAAGCAAACAAACUAAUUACACUUAACAUCUUUAUGUAUUAGAUUAAUCAAAAUAAAUGAUUUAAAUAAACAACAUGUAAAACUUAAAUGAAUUUUAUAGAGCAAUGCAGUUUAAAACUAAGGCUAUAAAAAUUACUAAACAUUGCUUUAGUCUAAUUACAUUUACUGUAAAUUUAUCAUGAUUUUAUUUAAACAGGAACUAUGCCACAAAAUUAAAUAAGAACACACAUUAAAUGAUUAAGAUAUAUUUAUAACUGUAGUUCUAUACUAGAUCUGGGGUUCAAAAUUUAUGGACAUGUUCUACUGGGCAGGUUCCUUCGAGUUCAACAUUGUCUGCAGCAAUUUGUAGCCGGUAGAUAUAUCCUAUACAAUAUUCUGCCUAUUGGCAUAGGUAAGCUCACAUGACAUAUUUAUUAUUACAGAUUUUGUUAAAUUUGACGCUUCAUGGCAAUUAUGUGUUUUCACGCCCAUGUAGCUAAACUACCCUGCUGGCUCAGUAAAUUGUCUGCCUUAGUCAGAUAGCUUCAUGUUUCAAAAUUGGGUGUAUAAACCAAAAUCUGGGCCUUGAUAAAGUACUGUUCCUUCCAAUGACUAAAGGAGCUGUGAGCCAGAAUGUGAGUUCCCAUUCCAAUAUAACCAAACAGACCAUUACCAAAUUUCAGGUUGUUCUGCAGCUGUAAAAAUUCAGGUUGCAAGGCAGACAUCAUGAAUUCAAAUUAAGUUGCCUACCAACUAGAUUGGUCUCUGAACAUUUUAGCACUAUUUUAUGCUCAUGAUUCAUGAACAUCAUAACUGGAAAUAUAGGAACCUAUAGCUUUACAGGAUAAACUUUCUAGCUGCAGUAAGCACUCAGCAGCAAGUAAAUGACGUCAGGAGUGAUCUGAGAUGUCCAUGUAUAUCAACUGCCUGUUUUUCACGUCGAAGACUCAAAUAUUCACAGCAAACUUGCGUAAUGAUCCCCCCAAUCAUAGUCACAUUUCUACAUUUUACCCCAAAUCAGUACUCCUUAGAACACUAAAUAUUUCAUCGAGUAGCUUAUCACUAUCGAGUGUGCACAAAUUAACCCCAAAAGCCAACACCUGAGUCAGUCAGUCUCCCGGAGAAAUAGGUAAAAGAAAUUUCCAUGUCCACGCAGAAACUGACUAAUUACCCGAUCAGCGUUGCUUCCCCUAAAAAAAAGGCGCAUGAUUCCACUCUCACGCAAUUAAAAUUCCUAGGGACCUAAGACGAAAUGUGGCCUUAAAUUACGAACUCAAUCAGAACCGUGGAGCUAAAUCCAGAACAAAUUCGAAACGGCGUGACGGGAUCGGAGCUCACCUAAAUCAACCGGAUCGGACCGGGGCC
This 5001-nucleotide long non-coding RNA is filed under the name Panicum hallii. Its description in RNAcentral is "long non-coding RNA (PHAL_LNC000534)". Lineage: Eukaryota; Viridiplantae; Streptophyta; Magnoliopsida; Poales; Poaceae. The record is from RNAcentral.